This 517-nucleotide long non-coding RNA is filed under the name Homo sapiens (human). RNAcentral describes it as "non-protein coding lnc-NBAS-13:1". The record is from RNAcentral. Lineage: Eukaryota; Metazoa; Chordata; Mammalia; Primates; Hominidae.
CUUCUUCUGUAAAAUAAGGAUAAAAAUAGAACAAUAGGCCCCUCCUAGGGUCAUUGUGAUGAAUGAACAUGCCGAAACCCCAUCUCUACUAAAAAAAAUACAAAAAUUAGCCAGGCGUGGUGGUGCACACCUGUGGUCCCAGCUACUCGGGAGCUGUCCCGGUGCACUCCUUACGCCCCACUGCAGAGCCAAGGCAGGACUCCCCCAGCCACUGCAGCUUUGCCUGCUGAAGUGCAGAAGGUUGGCGGAGGUUCAGCUGGCUCCCUCCCUUCACACUAUGUUUAGCUGAAAGCAGCUGCCAUGCGGCCCCUCCAGUGAGGUAUCCCAGUCUCACAGUUGACUGAUGUGGGGGAACAAAAGCCUAGCCCUUCAGUGCUUCAGUUUGGGACAAAGUGCCACCCCAGCUCCAGAGCUCUCAGCCCUAUGAGACUGGCGGAGGCUGUUGCUGUGAGGGCUUCAGAAUUGAACUUCUGGCCACACUUACUUUCUGUCUUUUUUCUUUCUUUUUUUUUCGAGA